AUAAACGAACAACUUAAAUAUAUAUAUACAUGUCUACAUAUAUAUAUGUCUAACACGUUCAACCCAGCUAUACAACGCAUCUGCAUUAUCGGGCCUACAGAAACCCAUAAAUACAUACAUACAUACAUAUUUAUGUACACUCGCCGGAGCCUCAAUUGUUUCUUGAGCUGGUGUUUUUUUUUUGUUUGUUUUUUUUGAAACUUGGAAGUGUUAUGUGUGCAAUGUUUUUCUGAUAACAAGAUUUGUGAGCGACGAAGUGCGAAUUUUGAAAAACAAAAACGUUUAUGCAUACAUAAACACAAACAAAAAACUAUUGUUAAGCAGUGUCUCAAAAUAUACCAGAACUGGAAUUAAUAUUGUAGAUAUACAGUUAUGUGCAUCAGUCACGUACAUAAGUACAUAGAUAAAUUUCUUCGACAAACACUACUGUGAUUAUGUACGCAUUUCUAAAAACGUCAUUUGGACGUGCACAUCAAACAAGGAAUAUGAAAACCACUACCGCGCUUCUUUUUCAAACAUGAGUAAAUAUCAAUAGCGGUCGAGAGCUUACGCCACGGAUUCACGUUCCACACUACUUUGGAUUUAUAACAGCCUGGUUUUAUUUACAUACUUCUAUAUAUGUACAAAUAUAUAUACAUACAUAUGUGUAAAUUAUGAACAUGAAUGUACAAUUGUGUAUUGUCUUAUAUGUAUUUCAAUAUGUGUAUCAUCACUUUUCGCAAAAUAAAUAGUGUACAUACGUA
This is a long non-coding RNA of Drosophila ananassae, 743 nucleotides long. RefSeq lists it as uncharacterized. The record is from RefSeq and is a predicted model, not a curated record. The transcript has 2 exons. Lineage: Eukaryota; Metazoa; Arthropoda; Insecta; Diptera; Drosophilidae.